Non-coding RNA from Brassica oleracea var. oleracea, 218 nucleotides. The record is from Rfam. NCBI's taxonomy places the organism in Eukaryota, Viridiplantae, Streptophyta, Magnoliopsida, Brassicales, Brassicaceae.
AUUGUGUUGUUUAGCCAAGGAUGACUUGCCGGCAGCUUUGAGUUUAAACUCUUAGCAUUCAAUAUUAUAUAGUUGUAGCUACUUUGUAUAAUCAACGUGAAAAUUAUUUUGCUACUUUGUAUAAUCAACAUGAAAGUAUUUUCUUGUGUAUAUGUGUUUUAGUGGGAUGUUACAAAGCUAGCCCGGCAAGUCAUUUGUGGUUAUGCAACUGCCACUUU